This 510-nucleotide long non-coding RNA is filed under the name Homo sapiens (human). RNAcentral's name for it is "novel transcript". The record is from RNAcentral. Lineage: Eukaryota; Metazoa; Chordata; Mammalia; Primates; Hominidae.
ACAAUACUCAUCCAGGCGGAUGGCCCACCAGCGCAAAGGGCUGAAAAGUUCCAUGGCAGCCUCAUAACUGGAGGGUGUGUCCAUGAGGAGGGUUUCGAUGACACGCUGAAAGCUCGGGCAGAUCUCUGCAGAAGCUGCAACACAGAGGAGAGAAGGCACAUGUCUCCAGGCCCCUUUCCAAGCUGGCUAGCCCUCUGGCUGGGUCUGCCCAGAUGCAAACAGCCAGGCCCAUCAGCGAGAGAUAGCAGCCUUUUCAUCGAUGGACUAGAGUGUAAGAUUUGUGGAUUGCCCGAGUCUUCCUUAGACUUCUUGGGUUGAGGUGAGCAAGGUGCCGUUUUUCUUUCUGUUGGAGAUCAAGGCAGAGUAUUGAUCAUAGAAGCUGCUGGCCUGAUUUUUUAAUGCAGUGUGGAGGCUGGGAAGAGGCCACUGAGGGUUUUAUUUCCCACCAGAAACUUGCCUCUCAUCAGUGGUUAGAGAUGCCCUGAGCCAUGCUUCACUGGGGGCAUGUGA